CAGCUCUUGUGUGGUUUCCCUCUCACAUGGGACACAGGACAGAGCCAGCAUGCGGCAAGAGGGGAGUCUGGACAAAGGCUGGUCAUAAAUUACCAAGUGUGUGGAGACACUGCGCUGAAUCACCUCACUUGGUAUGUUCCAGAGAGCUUAUUGUCAUCAUUUCGCUCUAUGGAUUCCAUCUCGCCUGGUUCCCUCUGAACAGCAGCUGUCAUGGCCUCGUUUCUGAGACAAGGUGGCAAAGGGACCCAUGGAUCCAUGCCCUGGGAAGAGAAGAUCUGCCUGCCUUUCCUGGAGGAGACACUCAUGAGCUCUGAACUGGCUUGAAUUUUGAUGAGAACUUACCAUCUUUUGAAGCAUUUUCACCAGACAAGUCCCACAGUAAGAGCAGAGCCA
RNAcentral lists this long non-coding RNA (393 nucleotides) under Gallus gallus (chicken). RNAcentral's name for it is "lncRNA (ENSGALG00010004140.1)". The record is from RNAcentral. Lineage: Eukaryota; Metazoa; Chordata; Aves; Galliformes; Phasianidae.